RNAcentral lists this ribosomal RNA (221 nucleotides) under uncultured bacterium. Its description in RNAcentral is "partial 16S ribosomal RNA". It matches the Rfam family "Bacterial small subunit ribosomal RNA", at positions 115 to 334 of the family's 1533-position model. The record is from RNAcentral.
GUAUCGCUAACGUGCCCCUAUGCCUGGGAUAGCCGUCCGAAAGGACGGGUAAUACCGGAUGAGACCACAGUCCCGCAUGGGACGGUGCUCAAAGGAGUAAUCCGCAAAGGGAGCGGGCGAUAUCGUAUCAGCUAGUUGGUGAGGUAACGGCUCACCAAGGCGACGACGCGUAGCCGGGCUGAGAGGGCACACGGCCACACUGGCACUGAAACACGGGCCAG